UACGGAGGGGGCUAGCGUUGUUCGGAUUUACUGGGCGUAAAGCGCACGUAGGCGGGUCGUUAAGUCGAGGGUGAAAUCCUGGAGCUCAACUCCAGAACUGCCUUCGAUACUGGCGACCUAGAGUCCGGAAGAGGUGAGUGGAACUCCUAGUGUAGAGGUGGAAUUCGUAGAUAUUAGGAAGAACACCAGUGGCGAAGGCGGCUCACUGGUCCGGUACUGACGCUGAGGUGCGAAAGCGUGGGGAGCAAACAGG
RNAcentral lists this ribosomal RNA (253 nucleotides) under uncultured bacterium. RNAcentral describes it as "partial 16S ribosomal RNA". It matches the Rfam family "Bacterial small subunit ribosomal RNA", at positions 524 to 776 of the family's 1533-position model. The record is from RNAcentral.